Molecule: ribosomal RNA, 357 nt
Filed under: Triticum aestivum (bread wheat)
Lineage: Eukaryota; Viridiplantae; Streptophyta; Magnoliopsida; Poales; Poaceae
Description: partial small subunit ribosomal RNA
Source: RNAcentral
GAAGAUGACUUGCUAGGUGAUGAUAAUUUACUUGUUGACAACUCUAGUGAUGAAUACUAUGAUGAAACAUCAAUUAAUCAUGCUAAUCAAGAUAAAACGAAUGACAAUGAUAAGGAGAAGAUUGAGCUUCUAACUAAAGAACUAAACACUCUCAAGUUAGCUCAUGAAACUAUCUUAGAAGAUCAUCGAGAACUUUUAAGGGCUCAUGAGAAGUUACGCUUUGAAAAGCUCAACCUUGAGCAAGAGCAUGAGUUCUUAAAGGCAAUCAAUGAUGAUCUCCAUAAGAAAAGUUCUUCUUACAUUGCCAAGCAUUUACUCUUAUCAACUUACAUGCAUCAAGUCAAGUCCAUUAACUAG